Molecule: ribosomal RNA, 253 nt
Filed under: uncultured bacterium
Lineage: Bacteria
Description: partial 16S ribosomal RNA
Rfam family: Bacterial small subunit ribosomal RNA
Source: RNAcentral
GACAGAGGGUGCAAACGUUGUUCGGAAUUACUGGGCGUAAAGCGCACGUAGGCGGUUCGUUAUGUCGGAUGUGAAAGCCCUUGGCUUAACCGAGGAAGUGCAUCCGAAACUGGCGAGCUAGAGUACGAAAGAGGAUCGCGGAAUUCCCGGUGUAGAGGUGAAAUUCGUAGAUAUCUGGAGGAACACCGGUGGCGAAGGCGGCGUUCUGGACUGCAACUGACACUGAUGAACGAAAGCCAGGGGAGCAAACGGG